This 516-nucleotide ribosomal RNA is filed under the name uncultured bacterium. RNAcentral describes it as "bacterial SSU rRNA". It matches the Rfam family "Bacterial small subunit ribosomal RNA", at positions 27 to 518 of the family's 1533-position model. The record is from RNAcentral.
GGACGAACGCUGGCGGCGUGCCUAAUACAUGCAAGUCAACGGCUUUCUAUGGAAGCUUGCUUCCACUGAGAAGAUAGUGGCGAACGGGUGAGUAACACGUGGGUAACCUGCCCAUAAGAGGGGGGAUAACAUCCGGAAACGGGUGCUAAUACCGCAUAGUUUCUUGAUUGCAUGAUUGAGAAAGGAAAGACGGCCUUUGUGCUGUCGCUUAUGGAUGGACCCGCGGCGUAUUAGUUAGUUGGUGAGGUAACGGCUCACCAAGACGAUGAUACGUAGCCGACCUGAGAGGGUGAUCGGCCACAUUGGGACUGAGACACGGCCCAAACUCCUACGGGAGGCAACAGUAGGGAAUCUUCCGCAAUGGACGAAAGUCUGACGGAGCAACGCCGCGUGAGUGAAGAAAGGUUUUCGGAUCGUAAAACUCUGUUGUCAGAGAAGAACAAGUUGGAGAGUAACUGCUCCAGCCUUGACGGUAUCUGACCAGAAAGCCACGGCUAACUACGUGCCAGCAGCCGC